CCUACGGGGAGCAGCAGUUGGGAAUAUUGCACAAUGGGGGGAACCCUGAUGCAGCGACGCCGCGUGAGUGAAGAAGUAUUUCGGUAUGUAAAGCUCUGUCAGCAGGGAAGAAGAAAGACGGUACCUGACCAAGAAGCCCCGGCUAACUACGUGCCAGCAGCCGCGGUAAUACGUAGGGGGCAAGCGUUAUCCGGAUUUACUGGGUGUAAAGGGAGCGUAGACGGCAGGGCAAGUCUGGAGUGAAAGGCAGGGGACCAACCCCUGGACUGCUCUGGAAACUGUCCGGCUGGAGUGCAGGAGAGGUAAGUGGAAUUCCUAGUGUAGCGGUGAAAUGCGUAGAUAUUAGGAGGAACACCAGUGGCGAAGGCGGCUUACUGGACUGUAACUGACGUUGAGGCUCGAAAGCGUGGGGAGCAAACAGGAUUAGAUACCCCAGUAGUC
This 441-nucleotide ribosomal RNA is filed under the name uncultured bacterium. RNAcentral's name for it is "partial 16S ribosomal RNA". It matches the Rfam family "Bacterial small subunit ribosomal RNA", at positions 338 to 795 of the family's 1533-position model. The record is from RNAcentral.